GCGUGUCGUGGUUUUAUAUGUGAUAAAAAAUCAUGUUAAUUUACAUAAACUUUAGCUUUGAUUUUCUCGGUUUAGACAAAGUUUAUUUUAAAAAUUACUUCGCCAAUGAACUCGUAUAUGAUGAGUCGUUUUUUAAGUUAUUUAAAGCACUUGUAGUCGUGUUUUAUCACAUAUAAACCACUCCGCUACGCGUCGUGUUUUAUAUGUGAUAAAACACUCCUACGCGUGCUUUAAAUAGU
This is a non-coding RNA of Paramuricea clavata, 239 nucleotides long. Lineage: Eukaryota; Metazoa; Cnidaria; Anthozoa; Malacalcyonacea; Plexauridae. The record is from the annotation of a GenBank genome assembly.